AGAGUUUGAUCCUGCUCAGAUGAACGCUAGCGGCAGGCCUUACACAUGCAAGUCGAGGGGUAACAGAGGGUGCUUGCACCUGCUGACGACCGGCGCACGGGUGCGUAACGCGUAUGCAACCUACUUCUACAGGGGGAUAGCCCAGAGAAAUUGGAAUAAUACCCCAUACGAUCUUUACUUGGCAUCGAGUAAAGAAGAAAACUUUUGUGGUAGAAGAUGGGCAUGCGUCCUAUUAGUUAGUUGGUGAGGUAACGGCUCACCAAGACAUCGAUAGGUAGGGGCCCUGAGAGGGGGAUCCCCCACACUGGUACUGAGACACGGACCAGACUCCUACGGGAGGCAGCAGUGAGGAAUAUUGGACAAUGGGGGCAACUCUGAUCCAGCCAUGCCGCGUGCAGGAAGACUGCCCUAUGGGUUGUAAACUGCUUUUAUACAGGAAGAAACUGCGCUACGUGUAGCGUACUGACGGUACUGUAAGAAUAAGGAUCGGCUAACUCCGUGCCAGCAGCCGCGGUAAUACGGAGGAUCCAAGCGUUAUCCGGAAUCAUUGGGUUUAAAGGGUCCGUAGGUGGUCUAUUAAGUCAGAGGUGAAAGCCUAUCGCUCAACGAUAGAACUGCCUUUGAUACUGAUGGACUUGAGUUAUUGUGAAGUAGUUAGAAUAUGUAGUGUAGCGGUGAAAUGCAUAGAUAUUACAUAGAAUACCGAUUGCGAAGGCAGAUUACUAACAAUAUACUGACACUGAGGGACGAAAGCGUGGGUAGCGAACAGGAUUAGAUACCCUGGUAGUCCACGCCGUAAACGAUGGUCACUAGCUGUUUGACUAACAUUGGUUAGUUGAGUGGCUAAGCGAAAGUGAUAAGUGACCCACCUGGGGAGUACGCUCGCAAGAGUGAAACUCAAAGGAAUUGACGG
This 913-nucleotide ribosomal RNA is filed under the name uncultured marine bacterium. RNAcentral's name for it is "bacterial SSU rRNA". It matches the Rfam family "Bacterial small subunit ribosomal RNA", at positions 8 to 916 of the family's 1533-position model. The record is from RNAcentral.